Molecule: ribosomal RNA, 402 nt
Filed under: uncultured bacterium
Lineage: Bacteria
Description: partial 16S ribosomal RNA
Rfam family: Bacterial small subunit ribosomal RNA
Source: RNAcentral
AAUAUUGCGCAAUGGGGGGAACCCUGACGCAGCAACGCCGCGGUAGUGAAGAAGGCCUUCGGGUCGUAAAAUUCUGUCAUUGGGGAAGAAAAAAAUGACGGUACCCAAUGAGGAAGACCCGGCUAACUACGUUCCAUCAGCCGCGGUAAUACGUAGGGGGCAAGAGUUGUCCGGAAUUACUGGGCGUAAAGGGUGCGUAGGCGGCCGUUUAAGUCAGAUGUGAAAUACCACGGCUCAACUGUGGGGGUGCAGUUGAAACUGGAUGGCUAGGGUGCAGGAGAGGAGAGUGGAAUUCCUAGUGUAGCGGUGAAAUGCGUAGGGAUUAGGAGGAACACCAGUGGCGAAGGCGACUUUCUGUACUGUAACUGACGCUGAGGCACGAAAGCGUGGGGAGCGAACAGG